This 230-nucleotide long non-coding RNA is filed under the name Setaria italica (foxtail millet). RNAcentral describes it as "long non-coding RNA (SITA_LNC005813)". Lineage: Eukaryota; Viridiplantae; Streptophyta; Magnoliopsida; Poales; Poaceae. The record is from RNAcentral.
UCAGAAAAACAGCAGCAGAGUCUGUUUUCAAAAUUGAUUUCUGAAGAAUUUUUCAAAUAAGUGAAUCAGGACAACUAUACCAUGUUGAAGUAUGAACUUUGUAAUACAAGAUUUGGGUGUUGUUGGCCAGGAACAUGGAAGGGAACAAUUUCGAAAUUGAGCUCAAAGUCAGCACAUUGUCACAAUUGACUGUCACCCUGAAAAUGGUUAAGUCUGAAACCAGCAGCAUA